Molecule: unclassified non-coding RNA, 599 nt
Filed under: Athalia rosae (coleseed sawfly)
Lineage: Eukaryota; Metazoa; Arthropoda; Insecta; Hymenoptera; Athaliidae
Description: misc RNA ENSAEAG00005006203.1
Source: RNAcentral
AAAGUUUGUAAAAUCGAUCGUGAAAGUCACGACGAAAUAUUUCAGCUCACCGAGAAUGGGGCCGACGAUCAGAAGCACCAGUCCGUUGGUCACCAUUUGUAUACCAGAUGCGGAAGGUAAUUUUUCGAUCGGCACGUACGUCGAGAUAACCAGGGUCAUGAAAACCGUUCGGAUUCCCUUGCCGAUUCCGAGCGUAAGUCCGACCACUACAACUGCGGCUUUGCCCAACUAACGUGGCGCUUACUCGAUCUGGUUACGAUCAGUAGGACCAUACUGAAGAGAAACAUCAUCCUCGGUGGCUGCUUGAGCCAUUCCGCAAUGAACGGAGCGAUCCCUCGGGACAAUAGAUCGGCUGUCGCCAGGCAACUCAUUACGGCCGCGAUUUCGUCGACGUUGAAUUUCAUCUCAGCCAAAAUAAAGGGCGUCAAUAAGGCGAAGUUUAUCUCCCCAAAUAUCGCUACAGCCAUACCUAUCAAGAUAUUCACAUAGACUGGAUCGCGCAAGAGAUCAAAAUCGAAAAAAAUAACUAUCGCGUGCAGCACGCGGUACAACACAGGCUUCUUUAUUUCCGCGUUUUCCCCCCCUUCUGAAGGACGUCU